AUUGUAAAUAUGGCAACGCCAAGUGAAGCUGUGUAUAUAAUGCGCCUCUCUUCUUCUCUAAGUAUGUAGUCUAAGCAUGGAUGUGAGGACCAUUAAUAUUUUAUUUGGUCGCGUUUACCAGCUUGGAGAAUUCAUAAUUAUGAGGUGAAACUUCAUGGGCCUGUUAAUGUAACACAGCCAGCAGCAAGGGCAGUCUUUUAGCAGGUUGCCAGGGGAAGUGUUUGCAUUGCCUGUGUAGCUGCAGAGAAUGUGGCAUUCAUGUUGGGGGGUUUGUACUGCCAUUUGCUGUUGCAUUCAUCUCCUAUGGCUUGAUUUAUGGGAAGAUCACAACGAUACUAGGCAGUAGGUGGUUGGACAAUGUUGCAUCUACGUGGACCCUGUAUGUUGGAACAGUUGCAAUACCUGUGCAAAUGUCUGGUUGCCUAGCCGUGGAGUUUUCGAGUCCCAUGAAUCGAUAAUGAGGUUCAGCGGGUGUGGUUACUUCUCCACCUCAUGGUAAUAGCUUGUCCAUAAUAUUGUUUAAAUGCUAGUGUAUGAUGAGUCAUUUUUAUUUGCUACUCUUGACUUGUUUGGAUGACGAUAAACUUAACCACCAAAUGUAAUCUGAAAUUUGAGCUGAUUUAGUCGCAUUAUGAGUCGAUUGUCUGUCUUCUAAUUCUAGAUGUUUUGUUAUAGGUUUUGCAGAGCCUGGUUUCUCCUUCGUCUUGAGAUUUUACUGGCGAGAACUGUUUUCCGCAUUUUGGUCAAUACAAGUUUUUCGCUAA
Daphnia magna is the source of this 764-nucleotide long non-coding RNA. RefSeq lists it as uncharacterized. Lineage: Eukaryota; Metazoa; Arthropoda; Branchiopoda; Diplostraca; Daphniidae. The transcript has 6 exons. The record is from RefSeq and is a predicted model, not a curated record.